AGCGUAGACGGACUGGCAAGUCUGAUGUGAGAGGCGGGGGCUCAACCCCUGGACUGCAUUGGAAACUGUUAGUCUUGAGUGCCGGAGAGGUAAGCGGAAUUCCUAGUGUAGCGGUGAAAUGCGUAGAUAUUAGGAGGAACACCAGUGGCGAAGGCGGCUUACUGGACGGUAACUGACGUUGAGGCUCGAAAGCGUGGGAGCAAACA
RNAcentral lists this ribosomal RNA (206 nucleotides) under uncultured bacterium. RNAcentral describes it as "partial 16S ribosomal RNA". It matches the Rfam family "Bacterial small subunit ribosomal RNA", at positions 568 to 774 of the family's 1533-position model. The record is from RNAcentral.